GAUGAACGCUGGCGGCGUGCCUAAUACAUGCAAGUCGAGCGAACAGACGAGGCGCUUGCUCCUUCGACGUUAGCGGCGGACGGGUGAGUAACACGUAGGUAACCUACCUAUAAGACUGGUAUAACCUCGGGAAACCGGAGCUAAUACCGGAUAAUAUUCCGAACCGCAUGGUUCGAUAGUGAAAGAUGGCUUUGCUAUCACUUCUAGAUGCAUCUGCGCCGUAUUAGCUAGUUGGUAAGGUAACGGCUUAUCAAGGCAACGAUACGUAGCCGACCUGUGAGGGUGAUCGGCCACACGGGAGCUGAGACACGGUCCUGACGCCUACGGUAGGCAGCAGUAGGGAAUCUGCCGCAAUGGGGGGAAGUCUGACGGAGCAACGCCGCGUGAGUGAUGAAAGUCUUCGGAGCGUAAAGCUCUGUUAUGAGUGAAGAACAAACGUGUAAGUAACUGUACACGUCUUGACGGUACCUAAUCAGAAAGCCACGGCUAACUACGUG
This 497-nucleotide ribosomal RNA is filed under the name uncultured bacterium. RNAcentral describes it as "partial 16S ribosomal RNA". It matches the Rfam family "Bacterial small subunit ribosomal RNA", at positions 28 to 507 of the family's 1533-position model. The record is from RNAcentral.